RNAcentral lists this ribosomal RNA (492 nucleotides) under uncultured bacterium. RNAcentral describes it as "bacterial SSU rRNA". It matches the Rfam family "Bacterial small subunit ribosomal RNA", at positions 30 to 521 of the family's 1533-position model. The record is from RNAcentral.
AUUGAACGCUGGCGGCAUGCCUUACACAUGCAAGUCGAACGGUAACGCGGGGCAACCUGGCGACGAGUGGCGAACGGGUGAGUAAUAUAUCGGAACGUGCCCAGUCGUGGGGGAUAACUGCUCGAAAGAGCAGCUAAUACCGCAUACGACCUGAGGGUGAAAGCGGGGGAUCUUCGGACCUCGCGCGAUUGGAGCGGCCGAUAUCAGAUUAGGUAGUUGGUGGGGUAAAGGCCUACCAAGCCGACGAUCUGUAGCUGGUCUGAGAGGAUGACCCCCCCACACUGGAACUGAGACACGGACCAGACUCCUACGGGAGGCAGCAGUAAGGAAUAUUGGUCAAUGGAGGGAACUCUGAACCAGCCAUGCCGCGUGCAGGAAGACAGCCCUCUGGGUCGUAAACUGCUUUUAUUCGGGAAUAAACCUUUCUACGUGUAGGAAGCUGAAUGUACCGAAGGAAUAAGGAUCGGCUAACUCCGUGCCAGCCGCCGCGGU